Molecule: ribosomal RNA, 380 nt
Filed under: uncultured eukaryote
Lineage: Eukaryota
Description: partial 18S ribosomal RNA
Rfam family: Eukaryotic small subunit ribosomal RNA
Source: RNAcentral
UGUGAGCGUAUACCAAAGUUGUUGCAGUUAAAACGCUCGUAGUCGGAAUUUGGCAGUUCCGGAUGUGUGCACGUCAUGUGCGCUUUGCGGGAAUUGCUUUUGUGUGUUCGCGUCGGAUGAGGCACGUUUAUUCGUGAACGUCCGCACGCUGCCACUUUUUACUGUGAGAAAAUCAGAGUGCUCAAAGCAGGCAUUUGCCGUGAAUGUAUUAGCAUGGAAUAAUAGAAUAGGACUCGGUUCUAUUUUGUUGGUUUGUUGGGACUGAGUAAUGAUUAAGAGGGACAGUUGGGGGCAUUUGUAUUUCGGCGCUAGAGGUGAAAUUCUUAGAUUGCCGAAAGACAAACUGCUGCGAAAGCGUCUGCCAAGGAUGUUUUCAUUGA